UACUUUCAUUAAAAAAAUAAAAUGUGCUUAUUACGAGUUUUUUUAUCGUGUCGUGCUUAACCCAUCUCUAAACGUGUUGUGCUUUUAAGGUCCGCGUGCUUAAAAUUUUAAGUAUGUGCCAUGCCGUGUGCCCCACCGAAAUGUGCUCAUGUCAUGUCGUGCCGUCUAACCUGUUGGCCAUCUGUAACUUGAAUAAAUGAGAAAUUACAUUUCAAAGAGGUUUCAUUAGUUUAUAAAAGUAAAUGGAUUUUUUUUUUGUAUUGUCCUGGAAUUUAUUUGAAAUAAAAUAAAAUAUGAGAUGUGUUGGCAAUGUUAGUCAUAUGUUGUAACUAUUACUGGCUACUUUGUAUGAAGGAAGCAUUCGACUCAAAAUCAUUUAUAAAAGAAAAUUGGAUUAUAACAUAAAGAGAUUAAAGGACUGUUGGGGGAUGAAUGUUAUUGUUUUUCAAAGGAAAAAAUAGCUUAAAAAAUUGUUACAAGUGGUUAAGGGUUGUAAUUAAUUGCAACAAUUACAUGUUGUAUUUCAAAUUAUAAAUUCAGCUUAGAUUCAAAAGUUAGUGCUAUUCAAAAGUUAGUGCCUAACUUUGGGGCCAAAAUGUCCUACAUAAAAUUUAUAAAUUAGUUUUCAAUUUCAUUUGUAAAAUACAUUAAAAUCGAAGAAAUUUUUACUCUUCUCUCUCAAAUAAAUUUUCUUUAACUUUAUUCUUUCGUGUGAUAAAGUUCAAACACCAAUUAGAGUUCACUAAAAUAAUAAAGUUGUCCUUCCAAUACUAUUUGAAUCCAUUGUAUCUGAAGAGACAAACAUCAAUAUAACUUGAGCAAUGUUCAGCAAUAUUUCAAGUGUGCAUGUUACUUAGUAGUAGUGGCUUCUAUAUGUCACAGAAGCCACAAAUUACCUAAGAAGUCUGAAUUUUAAGUACGACUAUUUACAAUCCCUCCAAUAUUUCCUAAGAACUUAACUAACGUAUUUUUAUAAACAACAUGGACCAUUUUAUAUCACUUAGUAAUAGUGGUUUUAUAAUAACAUGAAGUUGGGUCACCUGUCCCCUUGAUAUAAUGUCAUAAUGAUGGUUAUUUGCAGCCAAAAAAAAAAAUUACAAGGCUUUUAGUGAUGAUUCAAAAAUUGAGCUCAGCCAUGGCAAAAUUACAGUACACGUAGUAUGUUUUUAAUGUACUUGUAUAAAUUUAUUUGGACAUAUCUUGAAGUAGCUCAGUAAGUGUAGUAUUAUUGCAUAAGUCUAUCGAAAUCUACUUUGACAUAGCUCUAACUUGAAAAUCCACUCCAAUGAAAGAAAGGUCUCUCUCAAAUAAAGAGGAUUUCAACUAUCCUAAGACAUUAAGAGAAUUAAACCGUUGAACUAACCCCUAAGAAACUCAUAUGGCACGGUGGCAAAAGUUGCACUAGUGGAGUUUAUUCUCUAAAUUUAAUUACCAAUAAGACUUUUCAUCAUAAAGAUCAACUAUUAGAAUAUAUGACCUAAAUGAAUAAUAAAUUUAGGUUGUGUUGCAUUAACAAAAAUUGGGUUGGCUUAUUUUGAAGUUACCUAAAUUCUCAACCAACAGGCUAAAAUAGUGAACUAGGAUAUCGACUUUAAGACCUAUAAACCACUUACCCAAAUCAUGAACAUCGACUAGUUAAACCAACCAUUGAUGUUGCCACUCCACCACCAUCGUCAUCAAUAAAAUCCAACUAAGAUUGUUAAACUUUUAUACUCUUGGCCAUAAACCCCAGUCAUUAUCGCUAUUAGUCAUUGUUGUUUCAUCAACAAUAUUUGCCAAUCUAACCUUACCAUAAGCAUCGGUAUGAAAACAACAUUUUUGUCUCAAAAACUCUCUCUUGACAAAGCAAAGAGAAACUAGAAGACUAUAGUCAUAAAUAUUUCACUAACAAACUUUCUUGAUGAAACCAUAUUUCGUUUUGCUGCUCUUAAAGUUAGCCACAAAAUUGCUUCUUACUAAUUGUUGCUUCUUAUCUACCACAUCAUAGCUAGAAAAGAGAAAAAUUUCAAUCGAGGAGAGAGUUUACCUCUUAGGCUGACUUUUCCUUUAAUUUUUUUUUUAUAAUUUUUCCAGUCUUUGUUAAUGGAUGAUUAACACCAAAAAGGGUACAUUUAAUUAAAAGUGAAAAAUGGGUACAUUUAAUUAAAGUUAAAAUUAUCAUUUUUUUCACUUACGAUGUUGAUAACAUUAACAAUUUUAUUACAUUUACAAAUUCCUAAUUCAUUUUAUAAUUUAUAUUUUUACCUAUUUUUAAGUAUGGUUUUUUGUGUUUUUGUAGGUAAUUCCUAGAUUAAUGAUGCUUAGAUUAGAAAAACAGAAAUGAAAUUUUGAUUUUAGUGACUCAAAAGCCUUUGAAAGAAUUGCUUGCACCUUUAAUCCAACAUUAAUUCUGAACGGCUAUGAUUUUGCCACAGCUCACAUGCACCUUGUUAAACUAGAUUUAACACUCAUCAAUUUAAUAGUUCAAACACCUUAAAAAAUAAGCCAAUAGAUGGUCUCACUUUGACGUUAUUUAUAGCCAUUGAUCCGUUGAUUCUAUAACGAUCCAUAAUUGUUGCAAUUUUAGACCCUUAAAUUGUAUCAUUAAAACUCAUCUAAAGGUUGCGAUUACAAGCUCACUAAAAAUAUCAUGUAAAUGCCCACACUUGAUCAACUCAAACUUUUCUUAUACAAAGGCAAAAGAACUCAAAAAUUUAUGUGGAGAUUAGAGGAGAGAAUUGGAGCAUUUGUAGAGAAAUUAAGUGUAAAUCUAAUCUACAGCAAAUUUUAGGAAAAAAACUCGUCUUCUCGUUUGUUUUUCAAUUUUCUUGUAUUGUAUUUCAUAAAUUUGUUAAAUAAAAUUAUUGUUUUGCUUGUCAUUAUGGGUGAUUUAUUUUCUAAGCUAAGAAUGAGUGUCAAACUCAAGGAUUUAAAUUGUGGAAUUAAUUACUCUCUCAAGUAAGUUAUAAGUUUAUUUUUCUUAAUUACAUGUUUAUAAGUUAUAUUUUCUACAAGUUAUUAUCAUUCCAUGUUAAUCUGUAGAUCUAGAUCCACUUUGGAUCUAUAUGGGUACUUAGAUAUAAUGUCGACACACUAAUAUGACAGUGAUAACACUCUAAUAUGGCUGUGAUGAAAUACAAGUGUGCAACCCAAGAGGGGGGGUGAAUUGGUAUUUUUAAAAAUUAUCCUAACAAAACCACACAACAAUCCAAUCUAACGCCUUAAUAAAAUCGAAAGUAAUAAGUUCAAUAAAAGCACAAUAACAAAUGAGUAAGGGAGAAGAGAAACAAACACGAAUUUUUACGUGGUUCGGCAAUCCCCGCCUACGUCCACACCUCCAAGCAAUCCAAGCUUGAGGAUUUCACUAUGCAAGCCUUCCAAGGCUUCAAAUGGUCACAAUUGACUUCAAGGUGUCAAUGGACCUUUACAACAAAAAGAUUAUCUCCCAAUCUCUUCACUCAAGUGUCUCACACACUCAAAUACUCACAAUUAAGAUGAGGAAUUGAAUAUUACAAUAAAAACUCUCUUAAAGAGUAGAUAUACAAAUUGAAGAACAAAAGAUAAUUCAAGGUUUGAUAAUUUGCGAAAUGAGAGCUCAAUGAAUGUUGUGUGCUUUUUUUUAGGGAAAUUAUCAAUCGUAUACCCUUAGUUUACUCCGUUAUCAAAUUUACUACAACACUUUCAAGGUAUAUUAAUCGUCCACCAUAAGUUGACAAAAUGUAUAUACCGUCCACCAAAUCAUUAGUUGCCGUUUAAACAUGAUAAUGUCAGAAGGGUAAUCUGAUCUUUUCAUUGAUACAAGUGAUAAUUUUAAGGUAUAUAAGUGAUAAUAAGAGAUUUUAAGGGUAUACAAGUGAUAAUUUUUAAGGGUAAAAUCGUCAAUUCGCUACAAUUCCGUUAACUUUCAAACGACAGCUAAUGGUUUAGUGGUCGGCAUAUAACUUUUGUCGAUUUAGGGUGGAUGAUUAAUACACCCUUAAAGUGUUAUAGUAUUUUUAAUAAAAACGCAAAUUUAGGAUAUACGAAUAAUAAUUUCCUUUUUUUUAUUUUGCUUGCAAGAGAGCUUGAAAAUGAAUUAGAUUUGGGUGAUAUCAUAAUUUCAGAAAGUUUUGGUAUUAACAAAUCUUGGUGAUAACCGGCUUACUGUUUAUGGACAUCCAGUUAGCCGCUUAAUGUUACCGUUAUAGCCAAAAUUUGAAUUUUUGAAUAUAUGAUAAUUUUAAAAAAUAAUUCACUGUAGCAGUUAUGUAGCAAGCGGCUAUCCGGAUCAUGAAAAAUGGUAGACUGGAUUUGGGCAGCCGCUUGCUACAUAACUGCUACAGUGAAUUAUUUUUUAAAAUUAUCAUUUUACCCCAAAACUUUAUAAAACUAUAUUAUGGCCUAAAAUGUUAUGAAAGUUUUCAAAUAGGUCCAAUUUCAGAAUUUCUAAAUAAUGAUUUGUUAAUACCAAAACUUUCUGAAAUUAUGAUAUCACCCAAAAUAUAAGAAAUUAUAGAAUAGCCCAAAAUAUUUAAAUAUUAUCAAAUAGGUCCAAAUCUGAAAUUUAAAACAAUAUCAAAGAUUAUAAAAUUCUUUCAUUUUAGUCCACAACAACUUAAUUCCAUAAAAUUAUUUUCUUAUUAAAAAACACAAUACAUAAAUCUUUAUUUAAUCAACACAUGUGGUUUGUUAUCAUUAAAAUCAAUAUCUAUAGUCAUAUAGGCUAACAAUCUCCCCAUUUUUUAUGAUGACAAAACACAUUAUAAAAAUUUAAUCUAGUUAUGAAAAGCUCACUCUUAAUGAAUGCAAGGUUUAAAGACUAAUUUCAAAAAGAUUUAAAAAAUCCCCCUACAUAAGUGCAUAUGAAUAUUUUUCAUAACAAAUGAGUUUCCUAUAUUUUCCCUUUACAUAUUAUAUCUCCCCCUUCAUCAUCAAAAAGAAUAAAAGCUCCCCCUAUCAAUCAUCGAAAUCUCAAUACAGCACAUUAGUCCAAAAAUAUCCAAAGUAUAAGGAAAUAACAUAUCAUCCAUGAAAUAACAAACAAUCAAAACAAUUCCAUAUCAUCCAAAGCAAAUACAUAAUCCAAAAUAAUAACAACCAUCAAUGCAAUCGAAAAUAAAGGAACAUAAUGCAGUAAAUGAAAUGUAGGUGUGUCCAAAUAUAAGCAUAAGAGACUACUGAGGUGGUGAUGGAGGUGGAUACGGAUAUGAAAUGCCGAAGUGCUCAAAGAGGAGGCGUUGUCCAUGAAUGAGCCGUUGCUGCUGCUACUGCUAAAACUCAGUCUGCCACACAGAGAGUGUCUUCACCUCAUCCAUAAGCUAUUGAAGAGUAACCUCUUCAGAAAUAGGAGGCUUGGGAGGUGGCACAAUAGGUGCAGAGACUGCAGGAGUAGAGGUAGACAUUGAAGGAUCACGAUGUCUACGCUGACCCCGAAAUGAAAGCGAAAACAUAGGUAGCUGAUCGGCUGGAACCACAGCAUUAGGCGGUUGAUCAUCACUUGGAGCAAGAAAGGUGAACUUAUUAUCAGUGAACUUUACCCAAGUUCCAUUUUACCACUCAAAACCUAAAGAACUAACAACCUCAACCCCAAUGCUCUUAGAUGGCCUACAUGAUGGUUCACGGAUAGGGAUGCUAAAGUAUUUGAGGAUUCGAGUGAUGAAAUGACCAUACGGAAGGGAACGGGUAUUCAACUUAAGUAUACAAAGCAUGUUUCGGACAAUGGUGUAUCCUAAGUCGACCGGACGACGUCUAAGAAUACAAUCAAUCAAGGCAAGAUCCAAAUGAGAAACCUCAUCCAAAUGGCCUAAUCUAGGAAGCACAAUACUCUGAAUAAAACGAAGUAAUAUCCGAGUUUGAAGACAAAAACAUUGGGUGCAGAAAUGGAUAGUACAAUCAUCAUCCGAAAGGUCAAUACGACGACAUAUAUUCUUAACAGCAUCAAUAUGAACAUAGUGAUUAAUAUUAGGAGAUUUCCUAGGUGAAAAAAUUUGUAGGCCAUCAUCGGAAGUUCCUAGGAUAGAGUUCAACUCCGAAUCAUCAAACUCAACCGAAACUCCUCCAACUUUGGUGAUUACUCGAUUCUCUUUCUCCACGGAAGAAUCCAUAUUCGAGUAAAACACUUUCACCAAGUCAGGAUAUACAUUUUCCUAAAAAACAAGUGCAUUAAUCCAACCAACAUCUUUCAACAAUUGUAAUAAAGUUCUAUUACUAAUGAUAAGACUAUUCAACUAAUCUGGUAAAAUGAAGAAAGUUUGGAGUACCUCUCGAGUCAUGAAUUGUUGGUGAAAUCAUUUGACUAAAUGCUUGGUUGGGAAAUGCGUGGACUCAAAGGAAGACUGAUUGGAGGUGCCCCCUGCUUGCCGUGAGCGUUUGGUGGGUUGAACCGGUUCUUUGCCUUUUCCAUGAACCGGCCAUGAGCUUGACAUGGUGAGUUUGUUUGAUUUGAAGUGAAAUAAGGCAAUGAGAAGGAAGAUGGUGAGGAUUGAAAUGAAUAUUGAGGUUCAAUUCGGAUUAAAACUAGCUUAAGAGGAAAGAAUUUAGAGAGAGAAAGUUUUAUUUGAAAACCUAGAUGAGAUUCGGAUCUAAUGAGUUUGAUGGUGAAAAUGGUUUUUAAAGAUGAUUUUUGACUCAAGAGUAAAUGGGAAAUAAGAUUUAUGAAUUGAUUUGGAUUGGAAAUGAAUGAAAAUGAUGAAUUUUAGAGUAAGAAAUAGAGAAAAUGGAAACGACUUUUAGAGAGAGGAAGAACCGAUUUACCGAAAGAGGAAGAUGAAGAUGAAUAGUUCAUAUAAGCGCGAAUCCGGUUAACCAGAUGUCACUAACCAGUUAGCCGGUUGUGGUCCAGUGAGUGUGCAACGUGAUUUCGGGUUUCCAAUUUACAUAACCGGUAAUCCGGUUAAGUCCAAUGAUAAAUGGACAUGAAUUCGGUUAUCCGGAUAUGCCUAACCGGUUAACCGGUUGGAGGCAGCAAGCAAGCAACGCGAAUCCGGUUUGCCGGAUCUCAUAACCGGCUAUCCGGUUGUGUCUAGCAAGCAUCAAACCAAAUCUGAUUUUUUGGAUUUCAUAACCGGCUGACCGGUUCUUUCCAGAAACCAAAUUCUCUUCAAACGAUUUACUUGUUUUCCAAUCCGGUUAUCCAGAAUAUGACUCAAAGAAUAAUCAAUAAGAAGAACGAUUUUCCGGUUGAUUAGAAGAGGUUUAUUGGUUAAACUAUGGAGAAUAUUUUUGAAGUUUAGUAAACUCUUAGACUUGUAUUACACACAACAAUUUAUUUUUGGCUUAAAAAUUGAUCAAUUUUUAAAUCAUUUUGAGAUUCAAAAUUUUUUAAUAAGCCAUUUAAUUCAUGACACAUAAAUUCAUAAAAUAAAAAACAUAUCAAGCUAUUUAAUUCAUGAAGCAUAAAUUCAUACAAUAACGAACAUAUCAACUUAAUCAACAAAUCAAGAUUCAAGAUGCAACAUUCAUCAUUCUAAGCUUAUAUCUUAUCUUUAUAAAAUGCUCUUCACUAAUAGGUUUUGUAAAGAUAUCCGCAAGUUGAUUUUCAGUAGAAACAAAUUUAAUCACAACAUCUCUCUUUUGAACAUGAUCUCCAAGAAAAUGAUGUCUAAUUUCUAUAUGCUUAGUCCUAGAAUGUUGAAUAGGAUUCUUGGAUAAAUUAAUAGCACUAGUGUUGUCACACAAUAUAGGUAUUUGAUCAAGAUUAAUAUUAUAGUCUCUAAGGGUUUGUUUCAUCCAAAGGGUUUGCGCACAACAACUACCAACGGCUAUAUAUUCGGCCUCGGUGGUUGAAAGUGCAACCAAGUUUUGUUUCUUACUAAACCAAGAGACAAGUGAAUGACCUAGGAAGUGACAUGUUCCACUAGUACUUUUUCUUUAUAACCGGUAAAGUUGGCAUCCAAAUAACAAGUUAAGUUAAUAUGAGUUCCCUUAGGAUACCAAAGGCCAAGAUUGAUGGUGCCAAUCAAAUAUUGAAAAAUUCGUUUCGGACAAGAUUGAAAUCUAGCACACAAGCAUACACUAAACAUAAUAUCAGGCCUACUAGCAAUCAAAUAGAGUAAGGAUCCGAUCAUACCUCGAUAAGUCAUGAUGUCAACUUCCUUACCUUUCUCAUCUUUGUCCAACUUGAUGGUAGUACUCAUUGGAGUGCUUUUUGUCGUUCCAUUAUCAUAGCCAAAUCUUUUGAGUAGAUCUUUCACGUACUUGACUUGAUUUAUGAAAAUUUCUUCCUCGUUUUGUUUGAUUUAAAGUCCAAGGAAGUACUUCAACUCUCCCAUCAUACUCAUCUCAAAUUCUUUGCUCAUACAAGAUGAAAAUUCUUUACACAUAAUUCAUUAGUAAAACCAAAAAUAAUGUCAUCAACAUAAAUGUGAACAAUAAAUGUAUCUUAAUUCUUAUGCUUAACAAAUAGAGUUGUGUCCGCUUUUCCCAUAGAAAAAUCGUUAUCUAACAAGACAUUUUUAAGCCUAUGAUACCAUACUCUAGGUGUUUAUUUUAGUCCAUACAAUGCCUUAGAUAACUUAUACACAUGAUCUGAAAAUUUUUCAUUUUCAAAACUAGAGGGUUGUUUCACUUACACUUCCUCCAUAAUAUAACCAUAUAAUAAAGUACUCUUGACAUCCAUUUGAUAUAAAAUAAAAUCUUUAUGACAUGCAAAAGCUAAGAGCAUUCUAAUGGAUUCUAGUCUAGCUAUAGGUGCAAAUGUUUCAUCAAAAUCAAUUCCCUCUUCUUGGUUGUAACCUUGAGCCACUAAUUUAGCUUUAUUUCUUACAAUCACACCGGAUUCAUCCAUUUUGUUUUUAAAUACCCAUUUAGUACGUAUGAUGGAUUGAUGUUUCAGAUUAUGAACUAAUUCUCAUACAUUGUUUCUCUCAAAUUGAUUCAAUUCCUCUUGCAUUGUCAUAAUCCAAGAUUCAUCAUUUUUCGCAUCCGCAAAGGAUUUUGGUUCAGUUUGAGAAAUAAAUGCAGCAUGCUCACAUCUGUUCCUAAGACAUGAUCUAGUUGUAACACCUCGUGAGGGUUCUCCUAAAAUUACAUCCUUGAGGUGAGAAGAAAUAUACCCCUAUUCCUUGUGGAGUGUUUGAGAAGUACCUUCAUUUUGCUUUGUAUUUGUUUCUUCAUGAUGUCCUCUUGAAUUCCAUGCGGUGCAUCUUUUUUGUUGUCAUUUAAUGCUUUUUCUUGUUGUUCUUCUUCUGCAUUAUCAUCAACAACGACUUUCUCCGUGGAGGAGGGGUUAGACUCAUUAAAUGUAACAUGCAUAGAUUCUUCCACAACCAAAGUUCUUUUAUUAUAAAAUCUCUAAGCUUUACUUGAGUUUGAAUAACCAAGAAAAAUACCAACAUCAGAUUUUGGAUCAAAUUUACCAAGAUUAUCUUUUGUGUUUAAAAAAAAACAUUUGCAUUUAAAGACUUUAAAAUAGCCAAUAUUGGGUUUUCUAUCUUUCCAAAACUCAUAUGGAGUUUUAUUAAGAUUAGCCUUAAUCAACACACGAUUCAAAACAUAACAAGCGGUGUUGACUGCUUCGGCUCAAAAAUACUUAGGCAAAGAAUUUUUAUUCAACAUGGUCCUAGCCAUUUCUUGAAUAGACUUAUUUUUUCUCUUUAUAACUCCAUUUUGUUAAGGACUCCUAGGUGAUGAAAAUUGAUGCUCAAUGCCAAAAUCAUUACAAAAGUUCUCACAAGCAUAAUUUUUAAAUUUUCCACCAUGAUCACUUCUAAUACAAGAAAUACUACAUCCCUUUUCAUUUUGAACCUUUUUACAGAAAACGUUAAAAGCAUCAAAGGCAUCAUCUUUAUUAGCUAAGAAUAAUACCCAUGUGUAUCUGGAAUAAUCAUCUACAAUUAUAAACGCAUAAUAUUUGCCAUUUAAACUAGCAUAUCUAGAAAGUCCAAACAAGUCUAUGUGAAGUAGUUGAAGUGGUUUUGAAGUAGAAAUGUUUUUCUUGCUUUUGAAAGAAGUUUUGAUUUGUUUUCUAAAUUGGCAAGCUUCACAAAUUCCAUCUUUUUGAAAACUGAUUUUUGGAAGACCUUUAACCAAAUCAUUUUUCACGAUUUUUGAAAUCAAAUCCAUGCUUGCAUGACCUAAUCUUCUAUGCCACAACCAACCAUCAUCGUGCAAUGUGGAGAAACAUUUAUCAUUUGUAGGUGCACAAUCUAUAUUAAUGGUAUAGACAUUAACACAUCUAUUACCUACAAACAAAACUUUCCCAUCACAUGUAUUCUCAAUAACACAUUUUGAUUCAUCAAAGAUAACUUUAUAUCCUUUAUUACAUAAUUGACUAAUACUAAGCAAGUUGUGUUUUAAGUUUUCAACCAAACACAUAUUUUCAAUGAGAGUUGAGGAUACAUUACCGACAUUGUCAAUGCCAAUGAUUUUUCAUUUUAAAUUAUCUCCAAACGAUACAUCUCCACCAUUUUCAAUCUUGGUAAAACUUGAAAACCAAGAAUAAUUCCUUGUCAUGUGUCUUGAACAACCACUGUCCAAGUACCACUUAUUCUUCUUCUUCUUCAAGCCCUGUAGAGAAAAUCUCAAGUUUUAGGUACCUAAACCUUUUUGGGUCCUUGAGAGUUAGCAAUGGUUCAUUUCGGAACCCAAAUACAUUUCACACCAUAAUAUGCAUUUCUCUUCACUGGACAUCUAUUUUUCAUAUGACCAUCUUGAUUACAAUAAUGACAUACAAUUUGAUUGUUAAUAAAUGUAUUCUUCGUAAAAUAACUCUUGUAAUACUUUUGUUUUAAAUUUGACUUAUAACCAAUGCCUCCUUUGUCAAAUACACAUUUUUGUGAGUUUAGCAAGUUAUCCAACAUCUUUUGUCCAUUUGUGAAUUUUAGCACAAUCUCAUUUAGUUCAUUGCUCUUCUUUCUAAGCAUUUCAUUUUCAUUUUUCAAGUCAUUCACAUGUGACUCUAAGUGCUCAUGUGAAGUGUAGAAUUCUCAAAUAAUGCAACUCUAUCAUGCAAUGUUUUAUUCUCAAAUUAUAGGCAUGUAAUCUUUGCACUAAAUGGUUCAUUUUUAUUUUUAAGCUCUAUCAUUUUCUUUUUAAGACAUAUAUUAUUUUUACCAAUCUUCAUCAAUUCAUCAUGCAAAUCCUUAAAGACAUCAUGUAAUUCAUCAUAUGUAGGAAGAACACUUACCUCAUCAAGUUCAUUACAUGAUUCUUCCCUAAAGGCCAUGAGAGCUAAAUUAGUCAUCUCUUGUUACUCUUCAUCAUCGCUUGUUUCCUCAUCACUAUCAUCCCACGUGGCCACCAUAGCUUUCUUCUUGAGUUUGUUGAGGAAAGGACGUUCCGGUCAUAUGUGUCCAGGCUUCUUGCAUUCAUAGUAAGUGAUUGGCUCUUUCUUCUCCUUUUUAUUCUUGUAGCCUCUGAACUUUCUCUACUCAUUAUUUUUCUUGUAAAAUUUUUUGAAUCUUCUAGCCAACGUUGCUAACUCCUCAUCAUCCAUUUCGCUUUCCUCAUCACUCUCAAGUUUUGAGGCCUUGAGAGCAAUGCUUUUCUUUUUUUCCUCAUACCAUUUUUUCUGCUGCCAAAUCUUCUUCAUAUGAAAUGAGAGAAUCAAUUAAAUCAUUAAUAGGUAAGACAUUUAGAUCUUUGGCUUCCUCAAUAGCAGUCCUUUUUUGUCUCAAUUCCUUAGGUAGCGACCUAAUGAUUUUCUUAACUUUCUCGCUAUUAGAAAAAGUUUUUUCUAGGGCUCCUAAAGUGUUCACUAUGUCCGUAAAUCUAGUAUACAUAGAAUAUACACUCUCAUUUUGUUCCAUUUGGAACAACUCAUAUUGUCGAGUGUACCUACUUAUUUUAGAUUAUUUCACUUGAUUCAUGCCUUCAUAACAAACUUUAAGUUUGUGCAAAAUUUCGUUAGGACUUUCGCAACUAGACACUCUAUAAAACUCUUUCUUAUCUAGUGUACAAAAUAAGGCAUUCAUAGCUUUGGAAUUUAGAUAAGCUUUUCUCUUUUCAAAUUCAUUCCAUUCCAGUGAAGGUUUUGGAAUAUCUUCCCCGACUUCAUUUUUAGUCAAAAGCAUGAAAGGACCAUCAUUAACGAUUUCCCAAAUUUCGUAAUCUAAAGCUUGCAAGUAAAUUCUCAUCCUAGUUUUUCAAUACGGGUAAUCGUUUCCAUCAAAAUAAGGUGGUCUAGUGGUGGACUGUCAUUCCCUAAAUGUGGAAUCAUUUUGAGUUGCCAUUAAUCUUUAACUCUAGAUGGUUAAGCCUAAACAAGAGCACCUUGCUCUGAUACCAAAUAAAAUACAAGUGUACAACGCAAGAGGGGGGCGAAUUGAUAUUUUUAAAAAUUAUUCUAAUAAAACCACACAACAAUCCAAUCUAACGCCUUAAUAAAAUCGAAAGCAAUAAGUUCAAUAAACGCACAAUAACAAAUGAGUAAGGGAGAAGAGAAACAAACACACGAAUUUUUACGUGGUUUGGCAAUCCCCGUCUGCGUCCACGCCUCCAAGCAAUCCAAGCUUGAGGAUUUUACUAUGCAAGGCUUCAAAUUGUUACAAUUGACUUCAAGAUGUCAAUUGACCUUUACAACAAAGAGAUUAUCUCCAAAUCUCUUCACUCAAGUGCCUUACACACUCAAACACUCACAAUUAAGAUGAGGAAUUGAAUAUGACAAUAAAAACUCUUUUAAAGAGUAGAUAUACAAAUUGAAGAACAAAAGAUGAUUCAAGAUUUUAUGAUUUGCGAAAUGAAGAACAACAGUCAAUGAAUGUUGUGUGUGUGUUUUUUUUUUUUUUUUCACUUGCAAGAGAACUUGAAAAUGAAUUGGAUUUGGGUUUAUAUAGUUUGAGCUCAAAUACUAGCCAUUAUGCACAUUUUGGUGAUAACCGGCUUACCAUUUAUGGACAUCCGGUUAGCCGCUUAAUGUUACCGUUAUAGCCAAAAUUUGAAUUUUUGAACAUCCGGUAUGCCGCUUGUGAAAUCCAAAUAGCCGUUUAAGUUCCAAAAGCUUUCUGCCCAAAUCCAGUCUACCAUUUGUCAUGAUCCGGAUAGCCGCUUGCUACAGUAACUGCUACAGUGAAUUAUUUUUUAAAAUUAUAGUUUGACCCUAAAACUUUAUAAAACUAUAUUAUGGCCCAAAACAUUAUGAAAGUUUUCAAAUAGGUCCAAUUUUAGAAUUUCUAAAUACUGAUUUGUUAAUCCCAAAACUUUCUGAAAUUAUGAUAUCACCCAAAAUAUGUGAAAUUAUAGAAUAACCCAAAAUAUUUAAAUAUUAUCAAAUAGGUCCAAAUCCGAAAUUUAAAACAACAUCAAAGAUUAUAAAAUUCUUUCAUUUUAGUCCACACAACUUAAUUCCAUAAAAUCAUUUUCUCAUUAAAAAUCACAAUACAUAAAUCUUUAUUUAAUCAACACAUGUGGUUUGUUAUCAUCAAAAUCAAUGUCUAUAGCCAUAUAUGCUAACAUGUGACACAUUAUAUACUUAAUCCCCAUAUUUAUCUAUCGAGUAAUUAGUUAAAACCUAAGCCACAUAAUAUUCAAACUAAUAAAAGAAAUGUAAAAUAUAAAUAUGAGAAAGUAGUAUGACCAUGAUUUGAAUACCAAGAGUGAAUCUCGUAACUUUAGCACUAUUUGUUUUUUAAUUUAAACUAUUCCUUCUUAAUUUCUUUUUUAUAAUUAUUUUUAUUUAAUAAUUGACUACUAGAUUUUUUUAAUUCCCUACGUUUUGACCCUAGAAUGGAGUUGCUAUUAUAUGUAUUAUGAAUGAAUUCUCGUGUUGCAAAUGGUUAUGUCAACCUCGAUGGUGAUGCAUUGAGGUUUCAAUUGGCUAGGAGUUCAGUUCGUUGUGCAAAUAGCUUCACUAUUUUGUUAAUUAAUAAUUUUAAAAAAUCAUUUCCUUACAGUCAACUAUAAAAAUUUACUUCUUAAAAAUUGAAAUCAAAAUUUGAAUUUCCAAUAAGGUUUCUUGAAUUUCCGUGGUUGGUAAUAAAUUGUUCUUAAUAGUUUUUCACAAGAUUGAUAUCUUUGUAGUAAAUUAUUUUAUUAAAGCAAAGGAGUUUAGGGCUUGUUUAGCAUUUUUUUUUUAAAUAGGCUCAAAUGUCAUUUUGAAAAGCUAAAAGUUAAAUUUGGUGUUUGCUAAAUUUUUAAAAAAUCAUUCCAUCCUACGAUAGAUUCUAAAAGGCAAGAAAAUAAUAGAUUUCCAAAAUAUGAUUUUGAGAAUCAGUUUUAUAUUAAUUAUCAUUUCAUAUAUAUCCUCACAUAUAUUAUAAAAA
This 14156-nucleotide long non-coding RNA is filed under the name Citrus x clementina. RNAcentral's name for it is "Citrus clementina (C. clementina) long non-coding RNA (CCLE_LNC006667)". Lineage: Eukaryota; Viridiplantae; Streptophyta; Magnoliopsida; Sapindales; Rutaceae. The record is from RNAcentral.